GGAUUGUAGUCUGCAACUCGACUACAUGAAGCUGGAAUCGCUAGUAAUCGCGAAUCAGGAUGUCGCGGUGAAUACGUUCCCGGGUCUUGUACACACCGCCCGUCACACCAUGGGAGUCGGAAAUGCCCGAAGUCAGUGACCUAACCGAAAGGAGGGAGCUGCCGAAGGUGGAGCCGGUAACUGGGGUGAAGUCGUAACAAGGUAUC
Molecule: ribosomal RNA, 206 nt
Filed under: uncultured bacterium
Lineage: Bacteria
Description: partial 16S ribosomal RNA
Rfam family: Bacterial small subunit ribosomal RNA
Source: RNAcentral